Molecule: ribosomal RNA, 254 nt
Filed under: uncultured bacterium
Lineage: Bacteria
Description: partial 16S ribosomal RNA
Rfam family: Bacterial small subunit ribosomal RNA
Source: RNAcentral
CACGUAGGGUGCGAGCGUUGUCCGGAAUUAUUGGGCGUAAAGAGCUCGUAGGCGGUGUGUCGCGUCGGCCGUGAAAACCUGCAGCUUAACUGUGGGCUUGCGGUCGAUACGGGCAUCACUGGAGUUCGGCAGGGGAGACUGGAAUUCCUGGUGUAGCGGUGAAAUGCGCAGAUAUCAGGAGGAACACCGGUGGCGAAGGCGGGUCUCUGGGCCGAUACUGACGCUGAGGAGCGAAAGCGUGGAGAGCGAACAGG